AGGGUUGUAGUUAUUUAAAUAACAGUUAGUUUGCAACUAAAAAGUACAACAUUGUCUUCCUUU
This 63-nucleotide transfer RNA is filed under the name Dorypteryx domestica. RNAcentral's name for it is "tRNA-Ala". The record is from RNAcentral. Lineage: Eukaryota; Metazoa; Arthropoda; Insecta; Psocodea; Psyllipsocidae.